GUGUCACCCUUGCCUUGCAUAGGCAGGGCUGCUGGAUCCCAGACACCACACAGCUGGGAGGAAUUGGUGGCUUGUGACAGCAGCUCUCCAAUGGAACACCAUUGUCCUGGAAUGUGCUGUUUCUGGAUUGACAUAAUUGUUCUGUAGGAGCCAUUUGAGUCUCUCAGUAACAACUCAAAGGAAAAGGAAGAAACUCUCCUUCCUCAUCCCAGGCAGCUCUGCUCUGUAACAAUCCUUGGAAAUGGUAAUGAAAAGGAUGACCUGACAGCCCGUGAAGGACAAGGACCUGGCACUCCACCUUCCUGAGG
This 308-nucleotide long non-coding RNA is filed under the name Chloebia gouldiae (Gouldian finch). Its description in RNAcentral is "Erythrura gouldiae (Gouldian finch) lncRNA (ENSEGOG00005004774.1)". The record is from RNAcentral. Lineage: Eukaryota; Metazoa; Chordata; Aves; Passeriformes; Passeridae.